GACGAACGCUGGCGGCGUGCUUAACACAUGCAAGUCGAACGGAAAGGCCCCUUUGGGGGUCCUCGAGUGGCGAACGGGUGAGUAACACGUGAGUAACCUGCCCUUGACUUCGGGAUAACUUCAGGAAACUGGGGCUAAUACCGGAUAGGAAUCCUUGCUGCAUGGUGGGGGUUGGAAAGCUUCGGCGGUUUUGGAUGGACUCGCGGCUUAUCAGCUUGUUGGUGGGGUAGUGGCUUACCAAGGCUUUGACGGGUAGCCGGCCUGAGAGGGCGACCGGCCACAUUGGGACUGAGAUACGGCCCAGACUCCUACGGGAGGCAGCAGUGGGGAAUAUUGCACAAUGGGCGGAAGCCUGAUGCAGAAACGCCGCGUGCGGGAUGACGGCCUUCGGGUUGUAAACCGCUUUCAGCAGGGGCGAAGCUUGUGGUGACGGUACCUGCAGAAGAAGCACCGGCUAACUACGUG
This 465-nucleotide ribosomal RNA is filed under the name uncultured bacterium. RNAcentral's name for it is "partial 16S ribosomal RNA". It matches the Rfam family "Bacterial small subunit ribosomal RNA", at positions 28 to 507 of the family's 1533-position model. The record is from RNAcentral.